Molecule: long non-coding RNA, 854 nt
Organism: Oreochromis aureus
Lineage: Eukaryota; Metazoa; Chordata; Actinopteri; Cichliformes; Cichlidae
Exons: 7
Source: RefSeq, a predicted model, not a curated record
CGAUGUCGUAUCGCCACAUCUGGCAGAUGUGCAAGAAGUCAGAGGUCCUCUUCUGGACAGCAGAGGAGGCCAGAGUGAAGAAGAAAAGCAGCAGCUCGCUGACGGAGAACCCUGGCCACGUCGUCAUCUUCCCCUUGGAUGUCGUACCGCCACAUCUGCGAGAUGUACAAGAAGACUGAUGCAUACGUCGGGACAACGGAAGAGACUCUGACACGAGGGGCAUGGAGAAACCUGUUUUUUUUGUUGUUUUUUUGAGGUUGUUCAUCGUUAAAGUACCAGUCUAAGGAGCUUGGAAAGAUGAGCUUCUAGAACUUGUAUGUGAGGAGCAGGAGCUCCCUGAAGGAGAACCCCGGCCACGUCGUCAUUUUUUUGAGGUUGUCCGUCGUCAAUGUACCAGUCUAAGGAGCUUGGAAAGAUGAGCUUCUAGAACUUGUAUGUGAGGAGCAGGAGCUCCCUGAACGAGAACCCCGGCCACGUCGUCAUUUUUUUGAGGUUGUCCGUCGACAAUGUACCAGUCUAAGGAGCUUGGAAAGAUGAGCUUCUAGAACUUGUAUGUGAGGAGCAGGAGCUCCCUGAACGAGAACCCCGGCCACGUCGUCAUUUUUUUGAGGUUGUCCGUCGUCAAUGUACCAGUCUAAGGAGCUUGGAAAGAUGAGCUUCUAGAACUUGUAUGUGAGGAGCAGGAACUCCCUGAAGGAGAACCCCGGCCACUUCGUCAUCUUCCCCUUGGAUGUCGUACCGCCACAUCUGGCAGAUGUACAAGGAUCAGUCUGGACAGCGGAGGUGGUAGCAGGAGCUGCGGCGGUAUUUGUCCUGCAGGUGUCUUGAGCGGCUUGCCAGAUGCUUUGCGGGUG